AUGGAGCCGGAGAGCAUGGUGGUGUAUAUCGACAGCGUCUGGAGGCUCUUGAGGUUGCCGAUCGACGGCGGGAGCUGGCCGGAGAUCUUUGUAUCCGCGAGGCCGAGCACCUCAAGGCUGGACAGCUUGGAGAAUGAGUCGGGGAUCGGGCCGGAGAGGUCGUGGUUGCCACCGGCGCGGAGGGACUCGAGCUGCCGCAGCCCGCCGAGCUCCGCGGGAAGCUCGCCGGAGAGGCGGUUGUCGAACAGCAGCAGGUUCUUCAGCGACCCCGCGAGCCCGCCAAGCUCCGCCGGGAUGGGGCCGGAGAGCAGGUUGGUGUUGACCACCAGCGACUCCAGCGCCGUCAAGUUGCCGAGCGACGCCGGGACGGGGCCCGUGAGGGAGUUGCCGCUGAGGUCAAGCGUGGCGAGGCGGCGGCACAGCGCGAGGUCCUCCGGCACGCCACCCGUCAGGUUGGCAUCCGACACAACAAAGCUAACGAGCCCCGGCAGCGCGGCGCAGAGGCCGGACGGGGCCGGCACGGCGAGGUGGACGGACUGGAAGGUGACGGACACGACCGCCCUGCCGGCGGCGUCGCAGGCGACGUGCGACCACUUGCACGGGGACGAGGCGGCCGGGGCCCAGUCCGGCGGGCGCGAGGGCGACGCGGCCAGCCAUGAGGAGAGGAAGGCGACCUCGGGGUUGGGCGAGGAGGUAGUGGAGGCGGCGGCGGUGGUGGUGGUGGAGGUGGAGGUGAAGAGGAGGAGGUUGAGUAAGAGUGGGAGGAAGAGGAUGAGGUGGAGGGGGCGCAUCGGGGCUGCCGUCGUCGCCGGCAGCAGCGGCAACACUGGCAUCAAAAACUGGGCUCGGCCUUGCUUGGGGCAGUGCAACUGCGUGCACGACACACUAUGGAGGACCGCGACGAUCUCUAUGGAGGUGGCAAUGGAAGUGAGGCUGCCCUCACACACACACACACUCUCUCUCUCUCUCUCUCUCUCUCUCUCUCUCUAG
Molecule: ribosomal RNA, 990 nt
Filed under: Triticum aestivum (bread wheat)
Lineage: Eukaryota; Viridiplantae; Streptophyta; Magnoliopsida; Poales; Poaceae
Description: partial small subunit ribosomal RNA
Source: RNAcentral